Chiloscyllium plagiosum (whitespotted bambooshark) is the source of this 809-nucleotide non-coding RNA. Lineage: Eukaryota; Metazoa; Chordata; Chondrichthyes; Orectolobiformes; Hemiscylliidae. The record is from RefSeq and is a predicted model, not a curated record.
CAAAAAAGUCUUCUUUAAUAAAUAAAUAAUUAUAUUUAGCUAUGUGAAAAGAAGUGCACAGCGAGUGCUUGCUGUAAUCAGGAUCAGGUCUAAUCUCAGUCUGAACAUACAUUUCAAAUUAGCAAUGUGACGAAAUUAUUCGCAGAAUGAGUUCCAGUCUGAGCAACAAGUCACGAAGCGGCGCCUCAGAAAACAGCCGAGCCGCGUUCAAGUCUGUUAGCGAGCACCAGUUAUAACAGCUACAGUGUUUGGGCUUGCUGGAGAUUGGAAAAACGCCGAGGGAGCAGACAGAGCAAAGCGCUCCUAUCAGCUGCCUAUUCCAUUCCGUGCUGUUCCCCACUCCUUAUCCAUUUAGUCCAGUGAAAGCGGCCUGUAAAGUUUCAACACAUUUCUUAGCAAAAAACUGGGUGAAUAGACAAUCACAUGAAGUUCGUUAAAGCUGCAGAUGGAACAGUAUAGAUUUCCGACAGGGCGGGUUGCGAAGGGUGCAGGGACGGGACGUUUCAAUGGCAGCUCCGAAUGACUGAAAUGAUGAAGGGCUGCCUACGUUCAGAUAGAUCAUGAAGACUGUUUUAUUCUGCAGCAGAAUCAAUCUCUCGCACUCAAAGAAGCCAAGGCUCUGAAUGCUGUCAGAUUUCCAAACCUUUUUGUUUCAAAGAUGAGAUUUUAUUGCUAAAAACAUUGAACCAUUAUAUUUACAUUGAUAUGUUUUGUUUUAGAAAGAAUAUUCAAGUAAACAUUUCCAAAUGUCACGGUAUCAUCUACAUUAUAUCAACAAACGUUAAAGUAAUAAAUAAUUGGACACAAGA